UACGAAGGGUGCAAGCGUUAAUCGGAAUUACUGGGCGUAAAGCGUGCGUAGGCGGUUGGCUAAGUCAGAUGUGAAAGCUCUGGGCUCAACCUGGGAAUGGCAUUUGAAACUGGCCGGCUAGAGUGUGAUAGAGGAUGGCGGAAUUCCCGGUGUAGCGGUGAAAUGCGUAGAUAUCAAGUGGAACACCAGUGGCGAAGGCGAGUCCCUGGACGAUUCCUGACGCUGAGGCACGAAAGCUAGGGGAGCAAACAGG
Molecule: ribosomal RNA, 253 nt
Filed under: uncultured bacterium
Lineage: Bacteria
Description: partial 16S ribosomal RNA
Rfam family: Bacterial small subunit ribosomal RNA
Source: RNAcentral